UUAAGCGACUAAGCGUACACGGUGGAUGCCCUGGCAGUCAGAGGCGAUGAAGGACGUGCUAAUCUGCGAUAAGCGUCGGUAAGGUGAUAUGAACCGUUAUAACCGGCGAUUUCCGAAUGGGGAAACCCAGUGUGAUUCGUCACACUAUCAUUAACUGAAUCCAUAGGUUAAUGAGGCGAACCGGGGGAACUGAAACAUCUAAGUACCCCGAGGAAAAGAAAUCAACCGAGAUUCCCCCAGUAGCGGCGAGCGAACGGGGAGCAGCCCAGAGCCUGAAUCAGUGUGUGUGUUAGUGGAAGCGUCUGGAAAGGCGCGCGAUACAGGGUGACAGCCCCGUACACAAAAAUGCACAUGCUGUGAGCUCGAUGAGUAGGGCGGGACACGUGGUAUCCUGUCUGAAUAUGGGGGGACCAUCCUCCAAGGCUAAAUACUCCUGACUGACCGAUAGUGAACCAGUACCGUGAGGGAAAGGCGAAAAGAACCCCGGCGAGGGGAGUGAAAAAGAACCUGAAACCGUGUACGUACAAGCAGUGGGAGCACAGAGCAAUCUGUGUGACUGCGUACCUUUUGUAUAAUGGGUCAGCGACUUAUAUUCUGUAGCAAGGUUAACCGAAUAGGGGAGCCGAAGGGAAACCGAGUCUUAACUGGGCGUUAAGUUGCAGGGUAUAGACCCGAAACCCGGUGAUCUAGCCAUGGGCAGGUUGAAGGUUGGGUAACACUAACUGGAGGACCGAACCGACUAAUGUUGAAAAAUUAGCGGAUGACUUGUGGCUGGGGGUGAAAGGCCAAUCAAACCGGGAGAUAGCUGGUUCUCCCCGAAAGCUAUUUAGGUAGCGCCUCGUGAAUUCAUCUCCGGGGGUAGAGCACUGUUUCGGCAAGGGGGUCAUCCCGACUUACCAACCCGAUGCAAACUGCGAAUACCGGAGAAUGUUAUCACGGGAGACACACGGCGGGUGCUAACGUCCGUCGUGAAGAGGGAAACAACCCAGACCGCCAGCUAAGGUCCCAAAGUCAUGGUUAAGUGGGAAACGAUGUGGGAAGGCCCAGACAGCCAGGAUGUUGGCUUAGAAGCAGCCAUCAUUUAAAGAAAGCGUAAUAGCUCACUGGUCGAGUCGGCCUGCGCGGAAGAUGUAACGGGGCUAAACCAUGCACCGAAGCUGCGGCAGCGACACUAUGUGUUGUUGGGUAGGGGAGCGUUCUGUAAGCCUGUGAAGGUGUACUGUGAGGUAUGCUGGAGGUAUCAGAAGUGCGAAUGCUGACAUAAGUAACGAUAAAGCGGGUGAAAAGCCCGCUCGCCGGAAGACCAAGGGUUCCUGUCCAACGUUAAUCGGGGCAGGGUGAGUCGACCCCUAAGGCGAGGCCGAAAGGCGUAGUCGAUGGGAAACAGGUUAAUAUUCCUGUACUUGGUGUUACUGCGAAGGGGGGACGGAGAAGGCUAUGUUGGCCGGGCGACGGUUGUCCCGGUUUAAGCGUGUAGGCUGGUUUUCCAGGCAAAUCCGGAAAAUCAAGGCUGAGGCGUGAUGACGAGGCACUACGGUGCUGAAGCAACAAAUGCCCUGCUUCCAGGAAAAGCCUCUAAGCAUCAGGUAACAUCAAAUCGUACCCCAAACCGACACAGGUGGUCAGGUAGAGAAUACCAAGGCGCUUGAGAGAACUCGGGUGAAGGAACUAGGCAAAAUGGUGCCGUAACUUCGGGAGAAGGCACGCUGAUAUGUAGGUGAAGCGACUUGCUCGUGGAGCUGAAAUCAGUCGAAGAUACCAGCUGGCUGCAACUGUUUAUUAAAAACACAGCACUGUGCAAACACGAAAGUGGACGUAUACGGUGUGACGCCUGCCCGGUGCCGGAAGGUUAAUUGAUGGGGUCAGCGCAAGCGAAGCUCUUGAUCGAAGCCCCGGUAAACGGCGGCCGUAACUAUAACGGUCCUAAGGUAGCGAAAUUCCUUGUCGGGUAAGUUCCGACCUGCACGAAUGGCGUAAUGAUGGCCAGGCUGUCUCCACCCGAGACUCAGUGAAAUUGAACUCGCUGUGAAGAUGCAGUGUACCCGCGGCAAGACGGAAAGACCCCGUGAACCUUUACUAUAGCUUGACACUGAACAUUGAGCCUUGAUGUGUAGGAUAGGUGGGAGGCUUGGAAGUGUGGACGCCAGUCUGCAUGGAGCCGACCUUGAAAUACCACCCUUUAAUGUUUGAUGUUCUAACGUUGACCCGUGAUCCGGGUUGCGGACAGUGUCUGGUGGGUAGUUUGACUGGGGCGGUCUCCUCCUAAAGAGUAACGGAGGAGCACGAAGGUUGGCUAAUCCUGGUCGGACAUCAGGAGGUUAGUGCAAUGGCAUAAGCCAGCUUGACUGCGAGCGUGACGGCGCGAGCAGGUGCGAAAGCAGGUCAUAGUGAUCCGGUGGUUCUGAAUGGAAGGGCCAUCGCUCAACGGAUAAAAGGUACUCCGGGGAUAACAGGCUGAUACCGCCCAAGAGUUCAUAUCGACGGCGGUGUUUGGCACCUCGAUGUCGGCUCAUCACAUCCUGGGGCUGAAGUAGGUCCCAAGGGUAUGGCUGUUCGCCAUUUAAAGUGGUACGCGAGCUGGGUUUAGAACGUCGUGAGACAGUUCGGUCCCUAUCUGCCGUGGGCGCUGGAGAACUGAGGGGGGCUGCUCCUAGUACGAGAGGACCGGAGUGGACGCAUCACUGGUGUUCGGGUUGUCAUGCCAAUGGCACUGCCCGGUAGCUAAAUGCGGAAGAGAUAAGUGCUGAAAGCAUCUAAGCACGAAACUUGCCCCGAGAUGAGUUCUCCCUGACUCCUUGAGAGUCCUGAAGGAACGUUGAAGACGACGACGUUGAUAGGCCGGGUGUGUAAGCGCAGCGAUGCGUUGAGCUAACCGGUACUAAUGAACCGUGAGGCUUAACCUU
RNAcentral lists this ribosomal RNA (2903 nucleotides) under Escherichia coli. RNAcentral describes it as "bacterial LSU rRNA". It matches the Rfam family "Bacterial large subunit ribosomal RNA". The record is from RNAcentral. Lineage: Bacteria; Pseudomonadati; Pseudomonadota; Gammaproteobacteria; Enterobacterales; Enterobacteriaceae.